RNAcentral lists this ribosomal RNA (292 nucleotides) under uncultured bacterium. RNAcentral describes it as "partial 16S ribosomal RNA". It matches the Rfam family "Bacterial small subunit ribosomal RNA", at positions 505 to 796 of the family's 1533-position model. The record is from RNAcentral.
GUUCCAGCAGCCGCGGUAAUACAGAGGGUGCGAGCGUUAAUCGGAAUUACUGGGCGUAAAGCGCACGUAGUCGGCUUGUCAAGUCGGGUGUGAAAUCCCCGGGCUCAACCUGGGAACUGCAUCCGAGACUGACUUGCUAGAGUAUGGGAGAGGGAAGCGGAAUUUCUGGUGUAGCAGUGAAAUGCGUAGAUAUCAGAAGGAACAUCAGUGGCGAAGGCGGCUUCCUGGACCAAUACUGACGAUCAGGUGCGAAAGCGUGGGGAGCAAACAGGAUUAGAUACCCGGGUAGUCC